AUUGAACUAUAAAUAAACUGGAAGGCUAACUGCUAUGAUGAAGGCCUAUGAUUUGAUGAAACCAAAAUAGUUUUUCUGAGUUAUGAGCAGAAAUACUUGAACAAACGUCGGGCAAUAUAUCAAAUUGAAGCUAUUGAAAAUUGCUGUUCGGUGUGGAAAUUUCAAGACUUCAGCGAAAAGAAAAAUAUUUAAAAAAUACAAAAACAACUGCAAAACGGCAAAUUAUCCGUAAUUAUGUUUGUAGUUUUUCAAUAUUUCCCUUUUAGCUAAAGUCUUGAAAUUUCUACACCAAAUAGCGUUUUUCAAUAGCUUCAAUUUGAU
This is a non-coding RNA of Paramuricea clavata, 321 nucleotides long. NCBI's taxonomy places the organism in Eukaryota, Metazoa, Cnidaria, Anthozoa, Malacalcyonacea, Plexauridae. The record is from the annotation of a GenBank genome assembly.